GCAGUACCACGGGAAUACAGAGGGUGCGAGCGUUAAUCGGAUUUACUGGGCGUAAAGCGUGCGUAGGCGGCUUCUUAAGUCGGAUGUGAAAUCCCUGAGCUUAACUUAGGAAUUGCAUUCGAUACUGGGAAGCUAGAGUAUGGGAGAGGAUGGUAGAAUUCCAGGUGUAGCGGUGAAAUGCGUAGAGAUCUGGAGGAAUACCGAUGGCGAAGGCAGCCAUCUGGCCUAAUACUGACGCUGAGGUACGAAAGCAUGGGGAGCAAACAGGAUUAGAUACCCCCGUAGUCCCUGUCUCUUAUACA
Molecule: ribosomal RNA, 302 nt
Filed under: uncultured bacterium
Lineage: Bacteria
Description: partial 16S ribosomal RNA
Rfam family: Bacterial small subunit ribosomal RNA
Source: RNAcentral